UUAGUUAUUAUUUGUAUCUAACAAUAACAUAAACUAAUAAAUUCUGAUGCUUAUUCGACACAUCUACAGCACCAUCGACUAUCGAGCCUUUGAUUUAUCGAUCCUUCGGUUUCCUGGAAAUGGUCAGAUCGCUGUUACUACUGGCCAGUUUAGUGACACUGAGCUAUGGGUUAAACUGUGUCACAUGCUCCAGUGUGACCAUGGAAAUAGAAGGUGACUGGUCUGUUAAUGGUACAGUUAACCCGUUUUUUAAUGGUAACAGUUCAGAAGAUGAGAAGUGUGUCACGAAAAUAUGCGAAUCUGACGACGAUUUCUGCGUAUACGGAUACGGCAAUAUCACAUAUCAAAGUUCCUUUUCCAUUCUGCCUCUGGAGGAAGAUGCUCCGCCUCCAGAGGUCAAUAUUACAAUAAUAAUGGACUGGAUGAAAGGUUGUGUUAGUCAUACCGAAGUCAAGUGUUGGAACAUAAUAAAUGAGAAGAUUGAUGGUCUACAUAGUACAGUAUCUAAAUGUGACAUGAACAUGAAUACCUGCAACACCGAUAACUGUAAUGAUAAAACGUUUGCAGAAAUAAAAAGUGGAACAACUAGAACUCAUGUUUUGAGCUGCUUCUUGGCUUCCUUACUCGUCAACUUCUGGGUUUAGGGACUUCAGCAUAUAAAACCGUGUGUUAGUGUACGUGCGUGGUACAUGGUAGAUACUUCAGAUUCUACCAUCUUCACAUAGCAGAAUAACUAAAAUAAUGUUUUAUAAUUCUUCCGAAACUGAAUCCUUAACAAACAAAAAAUGGUUAUUGCUUUUUAAAUUUAACAUAGCCAAUCAAAGCUGAUUUGCAAUUUUUUAGAAUUCCCGAAAAUAAUCUUAUCUUUUCUAAUGUUGGAAGGUAGAAUAUCACGUUGACAAUGUUGUACUUGUAGUUCAAGUUGUAGGUUAUGAUAAAGUCAUAACUAGUAGUAGUGUCAUGUGAUAUAUAAGACAAGAUAUAAUUAAGUCUAGAUUUAAGAUUACUAGUUUAAGUAACGUUAUAUAUUUACUUGUGUAUUUGUUAAUGGAUGAAGUAUAAUCAUGCCAUGCAAAAUAUUCGCAGACCA
This is a long non-coding RNA of Bolinopsis microptera, 1090 nucleotides long. RefSeq lists it as uncharacterized. Lineage: Eukaryota; Metazoa; Ctenophora; Tentaculata; Lobata; Bolinopsidae. The record is from RefSeq and is a predicted model, not a curated record. The transcript is spliced from 2 exons.